This 322-nucleotide long non-coding RNA is filed under the name Mustela putorius furo (domestic ferret). Its description in RNAcentral is "lncRNA (ENSMPUG00000026812.1)". The record is from RNAcentral. Lineage: Eukaryota; Metazoa; Chordata; Mammalia; Carnivora; Mustelidae.
CUAGGCUGUCGGGGUCUUCGUUGGUGAGCGGAACUUUUGCCGCAUCGAGUGGAGAGUGACAGCGGAGCAGGUGGAGGGAAGCCCGGAAGGAGCCGGUGUGUGCAGUUUGCUUCACCGAUACGGAUUUGAUGUUUGGCGGUAAUCAAUAUAAAGAUGUUCAUCUGUCAUUGAGGGAAAACUUUCUUUUUGAAGGGAAAACUAUAAGGUACAGGUAACUGUUAGCUGCCAUCUUACAACCAUGAGAGAAGUCAGCUGGAAGAUAAAACUGACACAUUGAGAAGGAAAAAGCCAAGAUUAUUACAGAAAAAAUGGAGCUAGAGCC